Molecule: unclassified non-coding RNA, 813 nt
Filed under: uncultured Prochlorococcus sp.
Lineage: Bacteria; Bacillati; Cyanobacteriota; Cyanophyceae; Synechococcales; Prochlorococcaceae
Description: partial 16S-23S ribosomal RNA intergenic spacer; may also contain 16S ribosomal RNA and 23S ribosomal RNA
Rfam family: tRNA (bases 356-428)
Source: RNAcentral
UUGUGGAGGAGGACGCCGAAGGUGGGGCUAAUGACUGGGGUGAAGUCGUAACAAGGUAGCCGUACCGGAAGGUGCGGCUGGAUCACCUCCUAACAGGGAGACAAAAACUGACUAUGAUGUCUUGGAUUAUUCUCAAGGCCAUGGUCCUGUCACCUUAGGUCGAUCGGUACCUCAAUUUGAAAGCCAAAGAAGAUUGAUUAAUUCAGUUAGAGAUCGGUAAUUAAUUUCAGUUCCUAAACUUUGUCUAGGUCACACCCAACAAGGGUUCUCCUGGGCCAUUAGCUCAGGUGGUUAGAGCGCACCCCUGAUAAGGGUGAGGUCCCUGGUUCAAGUCCAGGAUGGCCCAUUCGUUGUUGGGGGUAUAGCUCAGUUGGUAGAGCGCCUGCUUUGCAAGCAGGAUGUCAGCGGUUCGAGUCCGCUUACCUCCACUGAACCACCUUCUAAUUGUCGAAUUUAUGGAGACUUAUGUUGGUAGUGAUUUAGAUUUGUUUUACAUGAUGAACCUAGCUUCUUAUCAUUCCUACUAAUCAAUUUCAAAAUAGAUUUGGUUGAUAUGAUGCUGGGCUCACUGCAAUAUAAAAAUUGCAAGUGUGUUCAGUAGAACCUUGACAACUGCAUAGAUUUUAAGUCUGGAAAGAAUAAAGCAUCUCAUGGAUGCAUUUCUCUUUGACUUUUUGUUUCUCAACUUUGGGAGCAAAUUGUCUUGGUGAACAUGUUUAAUUCUUGAGCAAAGAGCAGAGAUCUAUUAUUUAUUUUCUUUAAUGCAUACGCAAAAAAGAAAUUUAAUUAUAGAUACAAAUGGUCAAGCUACAA